AACUGAUACUACCUGCGGGAACCUGCGGAGGGAUCAUUACCGAGUUUACAACUCCCAAACCCCUGUGAACAUACCACUUGUUGCCUCGGCGGAUCAGCCCGCUCCCGGUAAAACGGGACGGCCCGCCAGAGGACCCCUAAACUCUGUUUCUAUAUGUAACUUCUGAGUAAAACCAUAAAUAAAUCAAAACUUUCAACAAUGGAUCUCU
This 208-nucleotide unclassified non-coding RNA is filed under the name soil metagenome. RNAcentral's name for it is "partial contains 5.8S ribosomal RNA, internal transcribed spacer 2, and large subunit ribosomal RNA". The record is from RNAcentral.